GCCAGGCAUAGUGGAGCAUGCCUGUAAUCCCAGUGGCUUGGGAGGCUGAGGCAGGAGGAUUGUGAGUUCAAAGCCAGCCUCACCAAAAACGAGGUGCUAAGCAACUCAGUGAGACCCUGUCUCUA
This 125-nucleotide small RNA is filed under the name Marmota monax (woodchuck). Lineage: Eukaryota; Metazoa; Chordata; Mammalia; Rodentia; Sciuridae. The record is from RNAcentral.